ACGCUCGACACCUACGGAGGCAGCAGUGGGGAAUAUUGCACAAUGGGGGAAACCCUGAUGCAGCGACGCCGCGUGGAGGAAGAAGGUCUUCGGAUUGUAAACUCCUGUUGUUGGGGAAAAAGAGGAUGGUACCCAACAAGGAAGUGACGGCUAACUACGUGCCGGCAGCCGCGGUAAUCUGAGCGGGCUGGCAAGGC
Molecule: ribosomal RNA, 197 nt
Filed under: uncultured bacterium
Lineage: Bacteria
Description: partial 16S ribosomal RNA
Rfam family: Bacterial small subunit ribosomal RNA
Source: RNAcentral